GAUGAACGCUGGCGGCGUGCCUAAUACAUGCAAGUCGAGCGAACGGACGAGAAGCUUGCUUCUCUGAUGUUAGCGGCGGACGGGUGAGUAACACGUGGAUAACCUACCUAUAAGACUGGGAUAACUUCGGGAAACCGGAGCUAAUACCGGAUAAUAUUUUGAACCGCAUGGUUCAAAAGUGAAAGACGGUCUUUCUGUCACUUAUAGAUGGAUCCGCGCUGCAUUAGCUAGUUGGUAAGGUAACGGCUUACCAAGGCAACGAUGCAAAGCCGACCUGAAGGGGAGAUUGGCUACCCGGUAUCAGAGGAUCAGCCCAGACUCCUGCGCGAAGAAGCAGUAGAGAAUCUUACGCGAGGGAGGAGAGCCUGACGGAGGAACGCCGCGGGAGUGAUGAAGGAGUUCGGAUCGGUAAGCGCUGUUAGUAGGAGAGAACAUAUGUGUAAGUACCUGUGCACAUCUUGACGGUACCGGGUCAAAAAGCCACGGCUAACUACGUG
This 497-nucleotide ribosomal RNA is filed under the name uncultured bacterium. Its description in RNAcentral is "partial 16S ribosomal RNA". It matches the Rfam family "Bacterial small subunit ribosomal RNA", at positions 28 to 507 of the family's 1533-position model. The record is from RNAcentral.